UACGGAGGGUGCGAGCGUUAAUCGGAAUUACUGGGCGUAAAGCGUGCGCAGGCGGUUUGUUAAGCGAGAUGUGAAAGCCCCGGGCUCAACCUGGGAACCGCAUUUCGAACUGGCAAACUAGAGUCUUGUAGGGGGGGGUAGAAUUCCAGGUGUAGCGGUGAAAUGCGUAGAGAUCUGGAGGAAUACCGGUGGCGAAGGCGGCCCCCUGGACAAAGACUGACGCUCAGGCACGAAAGCGUGGGGAGCAAACAGG
RNAcentral lists this ribosomal RNA (253 nucleotides) under uncultured microorganism. Its description in RNAcentral is "partial 16S ribosomal RNA". It matches the Rfam family "Bacterial small subunit ribosomal RNA", at positions 524 to 776 of the family's 1533-position model. The record is from RNAcentral.